AACGGGUGAGUAACACGUGGGUGAUCUGCCUCGCACUCUGGGAUAAGCCUGGGAAACUGGGUCUAAUACCGGAUAUGACCACUGAUCGCAUGGUUGGUGGUGGAAAGAUUUAUCGGUGCGAGAUGGGCCCGCGGCCUAUCAGCUUGUUGGUGGGGUAAUGGCCUACCAAGGCGACGACGGGUAGCCGACCUGAGAGGGUGACCGGCCACACUGGGACUGAGACACGGCCCAGACUCCUACGGGAGGCAGCAGUGGGGAAUAUUGCACAAUGGGCGAAAGCCUGAUGCAGCGACGCCGCGUGAGGGAUGACGGCCUUCGGGUUGUAAACCUCUUUCGACAGGGACGAAGCGCGAGUGACGGUACCUGUAGAAGAAGCACCGGCCAACUACGUGCCAGCAGCCGCGGUAAUACGUAGGGUGCGAGCGUUGUCCGGAAUUACUGGGCGUAAAGAGCUUGUAGGCGGUUCGUCGCGUCGAUUGUGAAAACUUGCAGCUCAACUGCAAGCUUGCAGUCGAUACGGGCGGACUAGAGUACUUCAGGGGAGACUGGAAUUCCUGGUGUAGCGGUGAAAUGCGCAGAUAUCAGGAGGAACACCGGUGGCGAAGGCGGGUCUCUGGGAAGUAACUGACGCUGAGAAGCGAAAGCGUGGGUAGCGAACAGGAUUAGAUACCCUGGUAGUCCACGCCGUAAACGGUGGGUACUAGGUGUGGGUUUCCUUCCACGGGAUCCGUGCCGUAGCUAACGCAUUAAGUACCCCGCCUGGGGAGUACGGCCGCAAGGCUAAAACUCAAAGGAAUUGACGGGGGCCCGCACAAGCGGCGGAGCAUGUGGAUUAAUUCGAUGCAACGCGAAGAACCUUACCUGGGUUUGAC
RNAcentral lists this ribosomal RNA (872 nucleotides) under Nocardia nova. RNAcentral's name for it is "bacterial SSU rRNA". It matches the Rfam family "Bacterial small subunit ribosomal RNA", at positions 101 to 985 of the family's 1533-position model. The record is from RNAcentral. Lineage: Bacteria; Bacillati; Actinomycetota; Actinomycetes; Mycobacteriales; Nocardiaceae.